RNAcentral lists this ribosomal RNA (400 nucleotides) under uncultured bacterium. Its description in RNAcentral is "bacterial SSU rRNA". It matches the Rfam family "Bacterial small subunit ribosomal RNA", at positions 359 to 776 of the family's 1533-position model. The record is from RNAcentral.
GAAUAUUGGACAAUGGGCGCAAGCCUGAUCCAGCCAUGCCGCGUGAGUGAUGAAGGCCCUAGGGUUGUAAAGCUCUUUCAACGGUGAAGAUAAUGACGGUGACCGUAAAAGAAUCCCCGGCUAACUUCGUGCCAGCAGCCGCGGUAAUACGAAGGGGGCUAGCGUUGUUCGGAAUUACUGGGCGUAAAGCGCACGUAGGCGGAUAUUUAAGUCAGAGGUGAAAUCCCGGAGCUCAACUUCGGAACUGCCUUUGAUACUGGGUAUCUUGAGUAUGGAAGAGGUAAGUGGAAUUGCGAGUGUAGAGGUGAAAUUCGUAGAUAUUCGCAGGAACACCAGUGGCGAAGGCGGCUUACUGGUCCAUUACUGACGCUGAGGUGCGAAAGCGUGGGGAGCAAACAGG